Molecule: small nucleolar RNA, 134 nt
Organism: Lepisosteus oculatus (spotted gar)
Lineage: Eukaryota; Metazoa; Chordata; Actinopteri; Semionotiformes; Lepisosteidae
Source: Ensembl
GCCCUGUGGUUCCUGGAGGCUGUUUUUCUAUGCAGUUCUGCAGGUUGUUUUAAAUGGGCAAAUAUGAACUCUGUGAUUUCUUGCAUGGAGUCUGUGUUAAUUGCAGCCUCCAUAGCCCGGUUGCAGGGACAAAU